AUCAGACUUGUCAGAGACUCCAGGAUGAGACUGCAAGGCUAGCUGAACUAAAAACAGAGCUACAUUGCACAGAUGAAUUGGUGUCACAGUGGCUCUCUGAUGUGAAGGAAUGGGCAGCUGAUGAGACACUAGAUACAUCUCAUGCCAGCAGCACACACAGAGGACUUCAGCAGUCAAUUGAGGGGCUUUAUCUUAGUGUGAGGCAGCGGAAGCAAACCAUUUACUGCCAGAAUGACAGCAGCAAGCUUCGCCACCGCCCUCACAGGAAGCUGGCAGAAGACAAAAAGCUCCUUCUUCAGGAGAUACAGAAAAAAAAUGGUCUUGCAUUAGACUCUGCCACAAACAUUGAUGUCUCUGCUGUGGAGCAUUCCCUUACUGGAGAGAGCAGUGUGUCACAAAUAUGGCCGUGGGAGGUUCAUGGCAGUGCAAACAUUUCAACCAAGUAACAAUUGCAUGACCAAGUGAUGUUGACAAUGCGACUGCACGAGGAGAAAAGCAUUUUGGUGUUGGAGAUGGCACAACACUGCACAUGGUUGCAGAGCCUGACAGUGGUUCUCAAGAACAAGAUGGCUGAGGAGGAUGAAGACAAGGAAAAUGAGGGACUUUGCUGUCUCUUAAGAAGAAGACUGUCAGAGGUGUCAGAACGGGUGCAAGUGGUCCUCCAACAGUACAAGACUGCUUUACUGUAGGUCCUGAGGCCUCAUCCUUCUACAUGUUGAAGCAGAAGAUCCAAGUGGUCUCAGUAGCCCAGACACCAGUGAGGAUGAAGAGGAAAACACAACUUAGAUGGAAGCUACUCAAAGGACUGUGUUGAAGGAAGUGGACUCGCCCUAUAUCUGUGUAUUAUUAGUAUGCUGAUUGAUUAACCACAUCUAAAUCUGGAUGCAUCCUAUAUUGUUGAAAAUUCAACCUGUAUGUACAUUACCAAGCAAUUUAGUAAGCAUAUUAAUGUUCCUUGAAGAUGCACAAAUCUCUUAGUAUAGUAAUGUAUGAUCUUAUCAGAUGUAAAUACUUGACUGACAUGAUGUUUGUUAGUGUAUUCCUGCUUCUUAAAGAGAGACUCCCCAUUGAUUUUUGUACGCCAACAUCAGGCCAAACUUUUGACUUUAUAUGACAAAUGUUAAGAACAGAUUUCUUAGUAACUUGCUGAGCAAUCUCAAACUUCCCAGGUAAUGAAUCUUGUCAGUUUUGUUAACAUUUGUUAAAUUCCCUUUAGCAUAUCCUUCGACCAUAAUGUAAAAUUUGAUAUUGUCUAUUAGUAGAGGAUCUAUGCCUUUUUUCCCAGAAGCGGCUGUCUAUGUAUCACUACUUGAUUGAAUGCAUUAUAGGAUACAACUUUAUGUUACUGCACCAUUGAAGAUAAACAACAUCAAUUAUUUCUUAAAGAUGGUUAAUUUGUUGACAAUUUAUCUGUCACUGUCAGUUUUGUCCUUACAAGUACAUUGAAUAUUGGUACAGCAGAUUUAGCUUAUACAUUAAGUACCUGAUUAUACAUUAUUUCAGUUGACAGAUAACUUGAUUCCAUUUUGUUUGUGCUUUUCAAGUUAAGUUAACCUUAUAGUCCAGUAUUAUUAAAUACAACCUUAUGACAUGUGUGACAAAUAUGCAUUUUGGUGUAUUUUCAUUGGUAUUGUUGUGAAAGACAAAAAAAAUAUUAUUUCCAAAGAAGAGUAUUUUAUGUUUUUACUUUUCCAUACAUUAUUAUUUAUUAAUUUUAAAAUUUGAUGGUUGAUUAAAGGCAAUAGCUGGAGAAAGAAACAUAAAUUAAGUUUUUGUCUGUGUUUGAUUGUAUUGUGUUGUCUGUUUUGCUUUAUGUACAGUAUUUUCUGUGUAUGCAAAGAUGCAAACUCCUCACUUUCAGUGAGAACUCACCUUUCUGAGAUCAAAAUAAGUCAUCUGGAUUUGCAGAGACCCAAUAAAAAAAGUGUUUUAUGGAGGGAGGUGGCGGGGGUCUUAUAAGGGUUCUUGUAAACUUACAACAGUAAAUAAAGAACUGGUUGUUUCAAUAAGUAAUGUAACGUGUUUCCUUUACUCUUUACUUAAAAUAAUACCCAUUGUAGGCAUAGUUUUAAAUGUAUUUGAGGUCUGAGAUGUGGCAAACAGUGUUACCAUCUAAUCAGCCAAUAUUGUCUUAAAUAUCCUGUGUAGCACUUUGUCAUUUAUAAUAUGAGAUUUUAACUAAAUGUUGAUUUUGGUAAAAUGUUGCAACAAUAUGUUAAUUAUUUUGUGAAAUAUUACAGUUUUUGACAUAUAGGGUAAUAAAAAAUACAUAAAAAAAAAUAAAAAAUAAAUGAAGUACAAAUGAGCAGUAAAGCAAAUAACAAAAAAAAAAAAAAAUCAGUGAGCAUGCACCUGCCCUGUGCAACAUUCUCACCUUUUUCCCCAACACCUGUUUGCAUCCCUGAUAUGUGUUAAGGACCCCCUAAAAACUAGAUGGUUCAUCGCAAGGAAUUUAUUCUUUUAAUAAACUUACAAUAUGUGUAAUGUAAUGAC
Long non-coding RNA from Cyprinus carpio (common carp), 2493 nucleotides. RefSeq lists it as uncharacterized. The record is from RefSeq and is a predicted model, not a curated record. NCBI's taxonomy places the organism in Eukaryota, Metazoa, Chordata, Actinopteri, Cypriniformes, Cyprinidae. The transcript is spliced from 6 exons.